Molecule: non-coding RNA, 98 nt
Organism: Acanthosepion pharaonis
Lineage: Eukaryota; Metazoa; Mollusca; Cephalopoda; Sepiida; Sepiidae
Source: the annotation of a GenBank genome assembly
CACCUUGAAGCACUGGUCCCCGUACGAUCACAGAAGUUAAGUAACGUCGUGGCUGGUAGUACUAAGUUGGGUGACCGGUUGUAAAUACCAGAUUCUGU